UGAGUAACACGUAUCCAACCUGCCGUCUACUCUUGGACAGCCUUCUGAAAGGAAGAUUAAUACAAGAUGGCAUCAUGAGUCCGCAUGUUCACAUGAUUAAAGGUAUUCCGGUAGACGAUGGGGAUGCGUUCCAUUAGAUAGUAGGCGGGGUAACGGCCACCUAGUCUUCGAUGGAUAGGGGUUCUGAGAGGAAGGUCCCCCACAUUGGAACUGAGACACGGUCCAA
This 226-nucleotide ribosomal RNA is filed under the name uncultured bacterium. Its description in RNAcentral is "partial 16S ribosomal RNA". It matches the Rfam family "Bacterial small subunit ribosomal RNA", at positions 107 to 334 of the family's 1533-position model. The record is from RNAcentral.